GCUUGCACUAGACACUUCUUUCUGCAUGAGUUCGUUCCACCUGCAGCACAGCUGUGUGGGCCUGUAUGCGUGUGCUCCCAUGACGGGGAGCAGAGAAGCGUGGUGGUGCUGCACUGAGGCUCGUUUUCCAGAGAGAAACGGCUCCAGAAAAGAGAGAUCACUUGGACAGGGUCACAGGGCCGGGAGGUCCCAGCCGUGGCUGGAAUCUGCGCACUGGGUGGUCAUCUACAGGAAAUGAUGGCCGGAGCUGCGGCAGCCAUUAGCCACCCUGAGGGAUGACACUGCUCACAUGCCAAGAAAUCUUAGUCCACUAGAACACCAUUGAACAGUUGAUGCACUGACCAUGACCUCCCCAUCUUGGUGAGAUUUGUUGUUUUGUAAAAUAAUAAAGGCCUUUGUUUUUUU
Long non-coding RNA from Canis lupus familiaris (dog), 405 nucleotides. RefSeq lists it as uncharacterized. The transcript has 2 exons. NCBI's taxonomy places the organism in Eukaryota, Metazoa, Chordata, Mammalia, Carnivora, Canidae. The record is from RefSeq and is a predicted model, not a curated record.